UGGGGAAUAUUGCACAAUGGGGGAAACCCUGAUGCAGCAACGCCGCGUGCGGGAUGACGGCCUUCGGGUUGUAAACCGCUUUCAGCCAUGACGAAGCUUUUGUGACGGUAGUGGCGGAAGAAGCACCGGCUAACUACGUGCCAGCAGCCGCGGUGAUACGUAGGGUGCGAGCGUUGUCCGGAAUUAUUGGGCGUAAAGAGCUUGUAGGCGGUUUGUCGCGUCGAAAGUGUAAACUCAGUGCUUAACGCUGAGCCUGCUUUCGAUACGGGCUGACUAGAGGAAGGUAGGGGAGAAUGGAAUUCCCGGUGGAGCGGUGGAAUGCGCAGAUAUCGGGAGGAACACCAGUGGCGAAGGCGGUUCUCUGGACCUUUCCUGACGCUGAGAAGCGAAAGCGUGGGUAGCAAACAGG
This 409-nucleotide ribosomal RNA is filed under the name bacterium. RNAcentral's name for it is "partial 16S ribosomal RNA". It matches the Rfam family "Bacterial small subunit ribosomal RNA", at positions 355 to 776 of the family's 1533-position model. The record is from RNAcentral.